This is a non-coding RNA of Acanthosepion pharaonis, 98 nucleotides long. Lineage: Eukaryota; Metazoa; Mollusca; Cephalopoda; Sepiida; Sepiidae. The record is from the annotation of a GenBank genome assembly.
UUGAAACACCGAUUUCUGUACAAUCACCGAAGUUAAGCAAUAUCAAGCCUUAUCAGUACCUAGAUGAGUGACAGCUUGGGAAUACCAGGUGUUGUAAG